Molecule: transfer RNA, 61 nt
Filed under: Ictidomys tridecemlineatus (thirteen-lined ground squirrel)
Lineage: Eukaryota; Metazoa; Chordata; Mammalia; Rodentia; Sciuridae
Description: Spermophilus tridecemlineatus (thirteen-lined ground squirrel) tRNA
Rfam family: tRNA
About the family: Transfer RNA (tRNA) molecules are approximately 80 nucleotides in length. Their secondary structure includes four short double-helical elements and three loops (D, anti-codon, and T loops). Further hydrogen bonds mediate the characteristic L-shaped molecular structure. tRNAs have two regions of fundamental functional importance: the anti-codon, which is responsible for specific mRNA codon recognition, and the 3' end, to which the tRNAs corresponding amino acid is attached (by aminoacyl-tRNA synthetases). tRNAs cope with the degeneracy of the genetic code in two manners: having more than one tRNA (with a specific anti-codon) for a particular amino acid; and 'wobble' base-pairing, i.e. permitting non-standard base-pairing at the 3rd anti-codon position.
Source: Rfam by way of RNAcentral
GGGAUUGUAGCUCAUGGUAGAGCACUUGCCUCGUAUGCACGAGGCACUGGAUUCAAUCCUA